AGUGAACGCUGGCGGUAGGCCUAACACAUGCAAGUCGAACGGCAGCACAGUAAGAGCUUGCUCUUACGGGUGGCGAGUGGCGGACGGGUGAGGAAUACAUCGGAAUCUACUUUUUCUUGGGGGAUAACGUAGGGAAACUUACGCUAAUACCGCAUACGACCUACGGGUGAAAGCAGGGGAUCUUCGGACCUUGCGCGAGUGAAUGAGCCGAUGUCGGAUUAGCUAGUUGGCGGGGUAAAGGCCCACCAAGGCGACGAUCCGUAGCUGGUCUGAGAGGAUGAUCAGCCACACUGGAACUGAGACACGGUCCAGACUCCUACGGGAGGCAGCAGUGGGGAAUAUUGGACAAUGGGCGCAAGCCUGAUCCAGCCAUACCGCGUGGGUGAAGAAGGCCUUCGGGUUGUAAAGCCCUUUUGUUGGGAAAGAAAAGCAGCAGGUUAAUACCCCGCUGCUCUGACGGUACCCAAAGAAUAAGCACCGGCUAACUUCGUG
This 492-nucleotide ribosomal RNA is filed under the name uncultured bacterium. RNAcentral describes it as "partial 16S ribosomal RNA". It matches the Rfam family "Bacterial small subunit ribosomal RNA", at positions 29 to 507 of the family's 1533-position model. The record is from RNAcentral.